RNAcentral lists this unclassified non-coding RNA (248 nucleotides) under Araeoandra tenuicaulis. RNAcentral describes it as "partial contains tRNA-Leu and trnL-trnF intergenic spacer". The stretch from base 201 to 248 matches the Rfam family "tRNA", at positions 1 to 46 of the family's 71-position model. Lineage: Eukaryota; Viridiplantae; Streptophyta; Magnoliopsida; Geraniales; Geraniaceae. The record is from RNAcentral.
UAUCCCCAAAUUUGCUUUUAACCUAUGUUUUUUUUUAUUCAUUAUGUUUUUCAUUCGUUCUACUCUUUCUUAACUCGAAUAGAACCUUUUUCUUAUAAUAAGUAAUAAGAAAGGCCUUUGAAUCCUUUAUUUUCGUCGUUUUAAUUGACAUAGACCCAGUCAUCUAGUAAAAUAAAAAUGAGGCUUAUGCAUCGGAAAUGGUCGGGAUAGCUCAGUUGGUAGAGCAGAGGACUGAAAAUCCUCGUGUC